This is a long non-coding RNA of Sesamum indicum (sesame), 1176 nucleotides long. RefSeq lists it as uncharacterized. Lineage: Eukaryota; Viridiplantae; Streptophyta; Magnoliopsida; Lamiales; Pedaliaceae. The record is from RefSeq and is a predicted model, not a curated record.
CUUUCACUCUAACCCUGAUUUGAUUUCUCCCGUUAUUGACUCUACAAUCUGCAAAAUGCGUCGUAGUUCAUCUGUUUAUCUCCGUGAAUUCAUUUUCAGACGCCCGUUUGGAAGAUCUUCAAACCCCAAUUCUCCAUUUCAAUCGGGUUCUCUCACAGCUCUCACAAAUCAAUGCUCCUUCUUGCUCUAUUUCUAACAGACCCACCAAAAACUAGCCGAAGAUUUCCAAGAUUCUGGGCAAUGCAGUGUUGCGACUGAUGGUGAAGUGGAUAACAUUAACCUCAAGUUUUCCGAAGCUAUGGUGGAUAUAGAAUCGGCCGUGGAGUUUGAGGGCUCCGAAGAGCGAGAGGGCGGCGAUACAGAGGGCUAUGGGUCUCAAGAGUUAGCAGUUGAAGGCUGAGGUUGACAGUUGAAUGAGUAACUUCCCAACGAAGAUUACUUCAAAGAAGCUUCUAUUUCAAUCUUUACCAUUGUCACAAAGGGCCAUCCUUGAGAAAUGAAGUUUAACUAGCCAAAGGAUCUUCACAUAUAAUGCUCCCACACAUUCUCUAUCAAAUAUUCAGACAAGCGAACUCCACUUAUUUGCAGAAGACUUCAUCACGAAGAUUAGAAUAAGGAAGCUUCUAUGCGGUGUGUAUCAUGUCACAAGCUUUAACCAGAGAUUAAUAAGUCACGUCAACGCCGUAGACCAUAAUUUAAACCUUCGACAGCAGGAACCGACUGUUCAAAUACUUGCAGAGCAGUUGUAGUAAGAGCAGAAUGGGAGGCAGGAAAAUGAGAAAUAACAGCAGAACAUGGAACUUGUGAUAUCCCAGAAGAUUUACUUUGUUCUCUGGAAUCAGAUCCAAAGCAGAAAGGGACAAAGUUUGAGAUAUUGUGAGUGCGUCAGAAUCAUCUCUUUGACUGUCCCUAACCCCAUGUGUGGAAUGCAGGAACGUUUUAUCCAUUGCCAGGUUCAGGGAUUUCAUCCAGUUUCUUUGAUGAUUUUCUGUCUUAGAUGUGUAGGAUUUAGAGAUGAUGAUGCACUUUGUCGGAGACAUCUUAGCUCUUUAGUUUUCAUUGGGUUUGAUGUAGUUUCCAUCUCUCAAUGUGUAGUAUUUAGAUGCAUGUGUGUUGUAAGAGAUAUAAACAUCAACUCUCGUGAGGACUUCAUUUUAUGAACGUCACAAUUCAUCU